Molecule: small RNA, 211 nt
Filed under: Paraburkholderia silvatlantica
Lineage: Bacteria; Pseudomonadati; Pseudomonadota; Betaproteobacteria; Burkholderiales; Burkholderiaceae
Description: sRNA Bp1_Cand738_SIPHT
Rfam family: Burkholderia sRNA Bp1_Cand738_SIPHT
Source: RNAcentral
CGAAAAGCCAGCGCGUAGGGGCGCUGACGAGGACAACCAAUCUAGACCGUAUGCAAGCCGUGCAGGGGUUCGGCAAAACGGCGACGCGUUGCGUCUGAAGGACCGGGAAGGUGGUUAAAAAUUUCAAACCCUGCAACCAGUGUGGACGGAUUCUAGCAGCCUGUUAUAGAUCGUCAAUACUAUAGAUUGUCAAAUCUAUAACUAAUUGUAA